GACGAACGCUGGCGGCGUGCCUAAUACAUGCAAGUCGAACGCAGUGGGGACGGGUGAGUAACACGUGGGUAACAUCCCAUCAGAGGGGAUAACACUUGGAAACAGGUGCUAAACCGAUACUGAUGGAUGUACCCGCGGUGCAUUAGUUAGUUGGUGAGGUAACGGCUCACCAAGGCCACGAUGCAUAGCCGACGUGGGCGAGGGCUCGGCCACACUGGGACUGGGACACGGCCCGUACUCCUCCGGGAGGAAGCGGUGGGGAAUCUUCGGCAAUGGACGAAAGUCUUGCCUGGCAACGCCGCUUGGGUGAAGAAGGUUUUCGGAUCGUAAGCCUCUUUUGUUAGGGAAGCGGUAUCUGACCAGAAAGCCACGGCUAACUACGUGCCAGCAGCCGCGGUAAUAC
This 403-nucleotide ribosomal RNA is filed under the name uncultured bacterium. Its description in RNAcentral is "partial 16S ribosomal RNA". It matches the Rfam family "Bacterial small subunit ribosomal RNA", at positions 28 to 526 of the family's 1533-position model. The record is from RNAcentral.